Molecule: ribosomal RNA, 472 nt
Filed under: uncultured bacterium
Lineage: Bacteria
Description: partial 16S ribosomal RNA
Rfam family: Bacterial small subunit ribosomal RNA
Source: RNAcentral
GACGAACGCUGGCGGCGUGCUUAACACAUGCAAGUCGAGCGCUGAAGCUUGGUGCUUGCACUGGGUGGAUGAGUGGCGAACGGGUGAGUAAUACGUGAGUAACCUGCCCUUGACUCUGGGAUAAGCCUGGGAAACUGGGUCUAAUACUGGAUACGACAUGUCACCGCAUGGUGGUGUGUGGAAAGGGUUUUACUGGUUUUGGAUGGGCUCACGGCCUAUCAGCUUGUUGGUGGGGUAAUGGCUCACCAAGGCGACGACGGGUAGCCGGCCUGAGAGGGUGACCGGCCACACUGGGACUGAGACACGGCCCAGACUCCUACGGGAGGCAGCAGUGGGGAAUAUUGCACAAUGGGCGGAAGCCUGAUGCAGCGACGCCGCGUGAGGGAUGACGGCCUUCGGGUUGUAAACCUCUUUCAGCACGGAAGAAGCGAAAGUGACGGUACGCGCAGAAGAAGCGCCGGCUAACUACGUG